Molecule: small nuclear RNA, 106 nt
Filed under: Dasypus novemcinctus (nine-banded armadillo)
Lineage: Eukaryota; Metazoa; Chordata; Mammalia; Cingulata; Dasypodidae
Source: RNAcentral
GGGUUCCCUUCAGCAACACAUAUACUAAAAUUGGAAUGAUACAGAGGAGAUUAGCAUGGCCCCUGUGUAAGAAUGACACACAAAUUAUGUAGCAUUCCAUAUUUAA